RNAcentral lists this microRNA precursor (84 nucleotides) under Bombyx mori (domestic silkworm). RNAcentral's name for it is "mir-2807 microRNA precursor family". It matches the Rfam family "mir-2807 microRNA precursor family". Lineage: Eukaryota; Metazoa; Arthropoda; Insecta; Lepidoptera; Bombycidae. The record is from Rfam by way of RNAcentral.
UUAACGGAAAUUUGUAUGGAGUUGGAAUGUUUGCCUACGUUUCCCGCUAGGGGCGCUGUUCCAAUUGCAUACAAAAUUGAGUUA